RNAcentral lists this unclassified non-coding RNA (204 nucleotides) under Hevea brasiliensis (rubber tree). Lineage: Eukaryota; Viridiplantae; Streptophyta; Magnoliopsida; Malpighiales; Euphorbiaceae. The record is from RNAcentral.
CUCUCUCUCUCUCUCUCUUUCUUAAUUUCUCCACAGCCUUCAACCUCUUGCUCAUAAUUGGUACUGAAGCCAUUUUAAUUGUCAUCAAAAGAUCUUCCAUUAACAGAAACAUGGAAAUAAUAUGGUGGGGUUGCUAAUCUAUCCAAUUCAUCAUUUUUUCAAAUCUAUUUAUCUACUUCUAGGUGAUACUUGAGAUUCCAAAAG